This 1429-nucleotide ribosomal RNA is filed under the name uncultured bacterium. RNAcentral describes it as "bacterial SSU rRNA". It matches the Rfam family "Bacterial small subunit ribosomal RNA". The record is from RNAcentral.
AGAGUUUGAUCCUGGCUCAGGAUGAACGCCGGCGGUGUGCCUAAUACAUGCAAGUCGUACGCACUGGCCCAACUGAUUGAUGGUGCUUGCACCUGAUUGACGAUGGAUCACCAGUGAGUGGCGGACGGGUGAGUAACACGUAGGUAACCUGCCUCGGAGCGGGGGAUAACAUUUGGAAACAGAUGCUAAUACCGCAUAACAACAAAAGCCACAUGGCUUUUGUUUGAAAGAUGGCUUUGGCUAUCACUCUGGGAUGGACCUGCGGUGCAUUAGCUAGUUGGUAAGGUAACGGCUUACCAAGGCAAUGAUGCAUAGCCGAGUUGAGAGACUGAUCGGCCACAAUGGAACUGAGACACGGUCCAUACUCCUACGGGAGGCAGCAGUAGGGAAUCUUCCACAAUGGGCGCAAGCCUGAUGGAGCAACACCGCGUGAGUGAAGAAGGGUUUCGGCUCGUAAAGCUCUGUUGUUGGAGAAGAACGUGCGUGAGAGUAACUGUUCACGCAGUGACGGUAUCCAACCAGAAAGUCACGGCUAACUACGUGCCAGCAGCCGCGGUAAUACGUAGGUGGCAAGCGUUAUCCGGAUUUAUUGGGCGUAAAGCGAGCGCAGGCGGUUGCUUAGGUCUGAUGUGAAAGCCUUCGGCUUAACCGAAGAAGUGCAUCGGAAACCGGGCGACUUGAGUGCAGAAGAGGAGAGUGGAACUCCAUGUGUAGCGGUGGAAUGCGUAGAUAUAUGGAAGAACACCAGUGGCGAAGGCGGCUGUCUGGUCUGCAACUGACGCUGAGGCUCGAAAGCAUGGGUAGCGAACAGGAUUAGAUACCCUGGUAGUCCAUGCCGUAAACGAUGAGUGCUAGGUGUUGGAGGGUUUCCGCCCUUCAGUGCCGGAGCUAACGCAUUAAGCACUCCGCCUGGGGAGUACGACCGCAAGGUUGAAACUCAAAGGAAUUGACGGGGGCCCGCACAAGCGGUGGAGCAUGUGGUUUAAUUCGAAGCUACGCGAAGAACCUUACCAGGUCUUGACAUCUUGCGCUAACCUUAGAGAUAAGGCGUUCCCUUCGGGGACGCAAUGACAGGUGGUGCAUGGUCGUCGUCAGCUCGUGUCGUGAGAUGUUGGGUUAAGUCCCGCAACGAGCGCAACCCUUGUUACUAGUUGCCAGCAUUAAGUUGGGCACUCUAGUGAGACUGCCGGUGACAAACCGGAGGAAGGUGGGGACGACGUCAGAUCAUCAUGCCCCUUAUGACCUGGCUACACACGUGCUACAAUGGACGGUACAACGAGAAGCGAACCUGCGAAGGCAAGCGGAUCUCUUAAAGCCGUUCUCAGUUCGGACUGUAGGCUGCAACUCGCCUACACGAAGCUGGAAUCGCUAGUAAUCGCGGAUCAGCACGCCGCGGUGAAUACGUUCCCGGGCCUUGCACACACCGCCC